Molecule: ribosomal RNA, 644 nt
Filed under: Salmonella enterica
Lineage: Bacteria; Pseudomonadati; Pseudomonadota; Gammaproteobacteria; Enterobacterales; Enterobacteriaceae
Description: partial 23S ribosomal RNA
Rfam family: Bacterial large subunit ribosomal RNA
Source: RNAcentral
GGGUUGUGAGGUUAAGCGACUAAGCGUACACGGUGGAUGCCCUGGCAGUCAGAGGCGAUGAAGGACGUGCUAAUCUGCGAUAAGCGCCGGUAAGGUGAUAUGAACCGUUAUAACCGGCGAUUUCCGAAUGGGGAAACCCAGUGUGACUCGUCACACUAUCAUUAACUGAAUCCAUAGGUUAAUGAGGCGAACCGGGGGAACUGAAACAUCUAAGUACCCCGAGGAAAAGAAAUCAACCGAGAUUCCCCCAGUAGCGGCGAGCGAACGGGGAGGAGCCCAGAGCCUGAAUCAGCAUGUGUGUUAGUGGAAGCGUCUGGAAAGGCGCGCGAUACAGGGUGACAGCCCCGUACACAAAAGCGCAUGUGCUGUGAGCUCGAUGAGUAGGGCGGGACACGUGAUAUCCUGUCUGAAUAUGGGGGGACCAUCCUCCAAGGCUAAAUACUCCUGACUGACCGAUAGUGAACCAGUACCGUGAGGGAAAGGCGAAAAGAACCCCGGCGAGGGGAGUGAAAAAGAACCUGAAACCGUGUACGUACAAGCAGUGGGAGCACCCUUUUGGGUGUGACUGCGUACCUUUUGUAUAAUGGGUCAGCGACUUAUAUUCUGUAGCAAGGUUAACCGAAUAGGGGAGCCGGAGGGAAACC